This 1404-nucleotide ribosomal RNA is filed under the name uncultured bacterium. RNAcentral's name for it is "16S ribosomal RNA". It matches the Rfam family "Bacterial small subunit ribosomal RNA". The record is from RNAcentral.
AGAGUUUGAUCCUGGCUCAGGAUGAACGCUAGCGACAGGCUUAACACAUGCAAGUCGAGGGGCAGCGGGGACGAAGCUUGCUUCGUCUGCCGGCGACCGGCGCACGGGUGAGUAACACGUAUGCGACCUGCCCCCCGCAGGGGGAUAACCGGGAGAAAUCCCGACUAAUACCGCGUAACGCCGCGGGGCUGCAUGGCCCCGCGGCCAAAGGAAGCGAUUCCGGCGGGGGAUGGGCAUGCGGCGCAUUAGCUAGUCGGCGGGGCAACGGCCCACCGAGGCGACGAUGCGUAGGGGUUCUGAGAGGAAGGUCCCCCACACUGGUACUGAGACACGGACCAGACUCCUACGGGAGGCAGCAGUGAGGAAUAUUGGUCAAUGGGCGGGAGCCUGAACCAGCCAAGUCGCGUGAGGGAAGACGGUCCUACGGAUUGUAAACCUCUUUUGCCGGGGAGCAACGGGGUCCUUGCGAGGGCCCGAUGAGAGUACCCGGAGAAAAAGCAUCGGCUAACUCCGUGCCAGCAGCCGCGGUAAUACGGAGGAUGCGAGCGUUAUCCGGAUUUAUUGGGUUUAAAGGGUGCGUAGGCGGGCUGUUAAGUCAGCGGUCAAAUGUCGGGGCUCAACCCCGGCCUGCCGUUGAAACUGGCGGCCUCGAGUGGGCGAGAAGUAUGCGGAAUGCGUGGUGUAGCGGUGAAAUGCAUAGAUAUCACGCAGAACUCCGAUUGCGAAGGCAGCAUACCGGCGCCCGACUGACGCUGAGGCACGAAAGCGUGGGUACCGAACAGGAUUAGAUACCCUGGUAGUCCACGCAGUAAACGAUGAAUGCUAGCUGUCCGGUUCUACGGGACUGGGUGGCACAGCGAAAGCGUUAAGCAUUCCACCUGGGGAGUACGCCGGCAACGGUGAAACUCAAAGGAAUUGACGGGGGCCCGCACAAGCGGAGGAACAUGUGGUUUAAUUCGAUGAUACGCGAGGAACCUUACCCGGGCUCAAACGCCAAAGGACAGCCGUUGAAAGGCGGCCUCCCUCCGGGGUCUUUGGCGAGGUGCUGCAUGGUUGUCGUCAGCUCGUGCCGUGAGGUGUCGGCUUAAGUGCCAUAACGAGCGCAACCCCCAUCGACAGUUGCUAACGGGUAGAGCCGAGGACUCUGUCGAGACUGCCGGCGCAAGCUGCGAGGAAGGCGGGGAUGACGUCAAAUCAGCACGGCCCUUACGUCCGGGGCGACACACGUGUUACAAUGGCCGGUACAGCGGGAUGCCAGGGCGCGAGCCCGAGCGGAACCCGAAAACCGGUCUCAGUUCGGAUUGGAGUCUGCAACCCGACUCCAUGAAGCUGGAUUCGCUAGUAAUCGCGCAUCAGCCACGGCGCGGUGAAUACGUUCCCGGGCCUUGUACUCACCGCCCGUCA